Vidua macroura (Pin-tailed whydah) is the source of this 237-nucleotide long non-coding RNA. RefSeq lists it as uncharacterized. Lineage: Eukaryota; Metazoa; Chordata; Aves; Passeriformes; Viduidae. The record is from RefSeq and is a predicted model, not a curated record. The transcript is spliced from 3 exons.
GUAAGCCCAGUGCAAUCAAUGCUGACAAUGAAUAUCAAGCAGGUCUCUCGAAACAGACUGUGCAGCCUUCUGGAAUACUUGUAAUGGAUUUUGAAACCUUCCAUGCAAAGGAGCUGUUUAUGCAACCCCAUGGAGCUACACUAUCAUGAUAAAUGCCUGAUCUUUGUGGAGGAAAGAAUUUAGUUCUCAAUAAGGUGAUGAGAAUGAAUUUUCAGCUCAACUAUCUCAGCAGUCAGU